Molecule: long non-coding RNA, 399 nt
Organism: Gavialis gangeticus (Gharial)
Lineage: Eukaryota; Metazoa; Chordata; Crocodylia; Gavialidae
Exons: 3
Source: RefSeq, a predicted model, not a curated record
UUGUGGCAAUGCUCCAAAGCACACACGAAAUGGAGAGAUGGGACAGAGAGUCAGACUGUUAUUCAAAUGGUGCAUUCCAAGGCAUUUCAAUCCAACUGGCUUUUCAUUUAGGAAAUGCACUGUUUAAAAAAAUAACACUCAAAGGAUGAACCAUUGAAACAAUAAAAGAUCAGACUCCUACAUGCUUUAUUUUGGAGCAGUUCCAAAUGGGAGUGGGUGUGGAGGAAAACAGACAAGAACAACAAUGGAAUUUGGACACGAGUCUGGGGAGAUCAUCAUCUGAGAUUUGGCAAUGCUGAAGGAACAGCCACAGGAAAUGGAGAGGCCAUCUGGCAGUCAGUCAACAGGAAGACUAUAUGUGCAGCUGACAGAUACAUCAGGACACAAUAGCAGAUAAGG